GGGAGUUUAGCUCAGUUGGUAGUAGCGCGUGCUUUGCAAGCACGAGGCCUUGAGUUCAAGUCUCAAAACUUCCA
This 74-nucleotide transfer RNA is filed under the name Sphaeropleales sp. YC001. Its description in RNAcentral is "tRNA-Ala". The record is from RNAcentral. Lineage: Eukaryota; Viridiplantae; Chlorophyta; Chlorophyceae; Sphaeropleales.